UGAACCUCUAGGUGCAGUUAUCGUGUGAUACAGUACUACUAUCGUGGAUCCCUACAGGACGGAGGUCAUGGACAGCUCGUCAAAUCCCAUCGUUUGUCAUAUGUGAGGAUUUAUUUGACUCGAGUUCGAUAGUGGAAAAACUCUUUCUCCACUUUAUAUUACUGCCCUGGCCAAGGUCUUAGAACUCAGUCUAACAAAUCACAUAGGAUCACUCCUCUUCUAUCAAGGUCGAUAGAU
RNAcentral lists this long non-coding RNA (237 nucleotides) under Phoenix dactylifera (date palm). Its description in RNAcentral is "long non-coding RNA (PDAC_LNC017017)". Lineage: Eukaryota; Viridiplantae; Streptophyta; Magnoliopsida; Arecales; Arecaceae. The record is from RNAcentral.